UACGAAGGGUGCAAGCGUUAAUCGGAAUUACUGGGCGUAAAGCGCGCGUAGGUGGUUCAGUAAGUUGGAAGUGAAAUCCCCGGGCUCAACCUGGGAACUGCUUUCAAAACUGCUGAGCUAGAGUACGGUAGAGGGUGGUGGAAUUUCCUGUGUAGCGGUGAAAUGCGUAGAUAUAGGAAGGAACACCAGUGGCGAAGGCGACCACCUGGACUGAUACUGACACUGAGGUGCGAAAGCGUGGGGAGCGAACCGG
RNAcentral lists this ribosomal RNA (253 nucleotides) under uncultured bacterium. RNAcentral's name for it is "partial 16S ribosomal RNA". It matches the Rfam family "Bacterial small subunit ribosomal RNA", at positions 524 to 776 of the family's 1533-position model. The record is from RNAcentral.